Danio rerio (zebrafish) is the source of this 2567-nucleotide long non-coding RNA. Lineage: Eukaryota; Metazoa; Chordata; Actinopteri; Cypriniformes; Danionidae. The record is from Ensembl.
GGAGGCACCAAACAGGUUGGAUGAGUACAGGUGAGCCAGGAAGCAGCUUAUGCUAAUUUGUCAACAUGAGAGAGGAAAUCCUACUUAUAGCCGCACUUGUGAGAGGGAGACAGGGCUACAAGAGAGCCUAUUAGAUAACCAAUUCUCCUGCCGGCCGCCUCACAGGAGGAGCGUGAGCGAGCGAGCGAGUGGGUGAGGGAGAGAGUGUACCUGCGAUGGUGGACACACAGGAAUUUCAUUCAAAUCCAGCCCUGCAAGUAACAGACAUGGCAUACAGGAAAGUGCGUGCAGGCCAUGGUUCUCUCCGUGUGCGGGAUCUGGAGAACGAGGAGCUCCACACGGCUUCCCUGGAGCUAGAAUGGGACAUGGAGAAGGAGCUGGAGGAACCGGGUCUCGACCGCUUCCAACUGGAGUGUGUGGAGCAUCAGCCCGUCAGCAGCUCUUCAGGUGGGACCAUGGACCCAGACCUGGAACCAAUUCAACCAUCCGUCUCCCCUCACGGACGCUUUGAGAGGCUCCAGGAGGACCCGAAUUACGUUACUCGAUUCAGCCGGACGGUUCCCAAGGGUCAGAGACAAAAUUGGACCUGUGUGGCCAAAUACCUGCUAGUAGGAGUGUGUGUGUUUGCUGCGGGACUGCUCAUUGGACGAUACACAUUCAGCAGGGUGCAAGUGAAGGAAGAGCCGAUUGCAGACACAGACGUACUGGAGAAGAUUGGUCUGGGAAUCACAGCAGAAAAGAUACAGGCACUGCAGAGGGACUUUGACAGCUUGUCAGAUCUUACCGAAGAGUCCAAGGUCAAAUAUAUUGCACAGCGGUGGAAGGAGAUUGGCUUGAAGGAUGUCCAAGUUACCAAACACAUGGCCCUUCUGAGCCAUCCUGGACCCGUUCUCAGUACCAUUGUUGAUAAGAGCGGAAACCAGUGCUAUCUGCCCAGCGGAGCGAGAUGUGAGAAGCAGUUCACAACCACAAGUGAGGCUUUUGCCUUUGCGGCCUACUCUGCAGUGGGCAAUAUAGUGGCAGAGGUGGUGGAUGUUCAGUAUGGAAGCCCUGAGGAUUUGAGACACGUCCAAGCUAGUACAAAUGUGACCAAUAAAAUUGCAUUGCUAAAACUCGGAGGAGCACCUUUGCUUUACAAGCUGUCUCUGUUGGUAGAGCUGGGGUUUGCUGGCUGUCUUCUUUAUGUGGAUCCUUGUGAUGGCUCAUUUGGGUAUAAGACCUUUGGGGUGACACUGAACCCAGGUGGGAACCCGUCUUUUCCAAAAGACCCCAGAGUUGUCGGCAGAGACAAUCUCUACAACCUGACAUCAUUGCUGGUUCAGCCUAUAUCUGCCUCAUUGGCAAAAAUGCUGCUCUCUGCCUCAGCCAUGGGGCAAGGAAGACCCUGCGUCCCUAUGAUCAUGCCCCCCACUUCAGCACGAAAAAUCAUAAAUCUCACCAUUGAAAACCAGGUAUCCUUCAAGGCAGUGCACAAUGUAAUGGGAUAUCUCAAAGGCAAGACCAAUCCAGAUCGAUAUGUCCUGGUUGGCAGUCGUCAUGGCAGCUGGUAUGAGGGUGCGUUGGCGGACUGGGGAAAUGGUUCUGCAGUCAUGACUCAGAUCAUUGCCUUUAUGAUGGCUCAAACCCGUGUAGGCUGGCGACCGGACCGUACCAUCGUCUUCUGCUCCUGGGGGGGGACUUCUUUGGGCAAUAUUGGCUCCUAUGAGUGGGGAAAGGAGAAUGCACUGGUGCUACAGAGCAGGGCUGUGGCUUAUGUCAGCCUGCACAGUCCCAUGACAAACUCUGGAUCCCUGCAGGCCACAGCGUCACCUUCCCUUCUGCAACUGGCAGGAGAAAUACAAAAGAGACAUUCUAUGAGCUGCAGCAGAGGAGCUGGUUGCUCUGUGUCCAGUGUCAGCUCACUGCAGACUCCUGGAGAUGCCAACUUUUUCUCCAAUCAGCUUGGAGUGCCUACGGUGGAGUUCACAUACGCAGAGGUCCCUAAAACAGAGAGAGCGCUUUUUCUCUCUGAGGCCUUUUUCCCUCCUGAGUCUUCAUUAGGAGAAACCUUGGAUCCAGCCUUCAAACUCCAUGAGACUAUUGCCAAGAUAACAACCGAGGCCAUCCUACGACUGGCUACAGAUCCUGUUCUUCCAUUUUGCCCUUUGGAUGUAGCCCUGAAUGUCCAGAGCAAACUCAAAGAUGAAACACUGAGAGGGCUGGACCUGCUAAACGUGGCUGCAUCUUUGAGGGAAAACUCAACUUUCUUCCAGUCUGAGGUCAUGCGUCCUGCCAAUGACCCCAAAGAGAGAGAUCCUGCCCAUGUCCGCAUGCUCAACGAUGUCCUCCGAGAUCUGGAAAAAAGCUUUCUUAUCCCAACCCCACCUGCUGGCUUUUACAGGAAUAUUCUCUAUUGUUUGAGCAGACAAACUCCACGCUUCUCUAUCCUAAAGGAUGCCCUGGAGGUUUCCUGGCACAACAGCAUCAGCCAUUCCCAGAAUCUGGUAUACAGCGCCAUUAGUUCAGCUCAGAAACUUGUGCAAAGUGGACUCGACCUGUUUGAGAAUGAAAAUGACAACCUAAAAUGA